UUUAAGCUUCCUACGGGAGGCUGCAGUGGGGAAUCUUGCGCAAUGGGCGAAAGCCUGACGCAGCCAUGCCGCGUGAAUGAUGAAGGUCUUAGGAUUGUAAAAUUCUUUCACCGGGGACGAUAAUGACGGUACCCGGAGAAGAAGCCCCGGCUAACUUCGUGCCAGCAGCCGCGGUAAUACGAAGGGGGCUAGCGUUGCUCGGAAUUACUGGGCGUAAAGGGAGCGUAGGCGGACAUUUAAGUCAGGGGUGAAAUCCCGGGGCUCAACCUCGGAAUUGCCUUUGAUACUGGGUGUCUUGAGUAUGAGAGAGGUGUGUGGAACUCCGAGUGUAGAGGUGAAAUUCGUAGAUAUUCGGAAGAACACCAGUGGCGAAGGCGACACACUGGCUCAU
Molecule: ribosomal RNA, 391 nt
Filed under: uncultured bacterium
Lineage: Bacteria
Description: bacterial SSU rRNA
Rfam family: Bacterial small subunit ribosomal RNA
Source: RNAcentral